This is a long non-coding RNA of Lolium perenne, 475 nucleotides long. RefSeq lists it as uncharacterized. NCBI's taxonomy places the organism in Eukaryota, Viridiplantae, Streptophyta, Magnoliopsida, Poales, Poaceae. The record is from RefSeq and is a predicted model, not a curated record.
CUUAUAAAUUACCCAUUAGUGUGCACAAAAUAAGGGCUGAUCAUCUAAAGUCAUUGCAGGAAGAUGACUAUAGUCAGGGAACUAAUUUCAGAUGUAUGCAGAUGAAACUAGCCAGGAAGGAAAACUCUAGGUGUCUACGGAUGCCAGUAGCAAGUGUCCCGUGCUUGAACUACCAUCCGCAAUUUAGAUGUAAUGAGUGUGCUGGAAGCUAUCCUUUAUUUCAACCGGUCUUUGUGUCACUUCUGACCAUUAUAACCAAACAAUUUAAUGAAAGGUGGUGUAAAGUUUAGUUGUUUUGGAUCUUCUGAAGAGGAAAAGUGGCAAAGGAAAACACCAAAGUGGUGGAGCUGGCAAAAUGGCAAAGAAGAACACCAACAAGUUGUUAUUCGUGACCGUCGGUCCGUCGCCUCAAGGGCGACCAACGACCUCACUAACUAUUGCAUAAUUGAUAUUCCUCGCCUUGCCUCACAAGUCU